GAAGUUCGCAAUACCGAAAAAGAGUUUGGUUGAUCUGAAGUUGAGUUGCCUUAACUUCAAUUCGACCAAGUCGGGUUGAAAACCGCAAUAAACUUCGGUGUUAAGGAUUUUUUUUCUUUCCCUUUCUUAGGUUGGCAACGCCAAUCAUACUUCGACUGAACUUAGUUGAAGUUCGCAAUACCGAAAAAGAGUUUGGUUGAUCUGAAGUUGAGUUGCCUUAACUUCAAUUCGACCAAGUCGGGUUGAAAACCGCAAUAAACUUCGGUGUUAAGGAUUUUUUUUUCGUUUUCUUUCUGUUCUUAGUUAGAAACUUAGUAACUACACCAUGUUUUAUUAUUAAGUCAUAACGGUGCUAAAUAGUGUUCGCAACAUCUUCAAAAGACGAUAAGCGCUGUUGUACUAUAUUAAGCAAGGUGAAAAAAUUAAAAAGUGGCUGUUUAAACCUCCUCAUAAAGGUAUCCUUUCCUUGCUUCUAUGGGUAGUGGCACUCGUCGUUGAGUUAGAGUGAAAGCAGUAGCUUAUGUGGAUUAUAGGGCUGAGUCCUUAUACAAUCAGUGAGAAUAUGGAAAGAAGCUUGCGCUGCCACGAGGAGCAAAGAAAAAUUAAAUUAAAUUGGUGUAACCCUAGUGGUAUUACAAAAGCAAAGUAUUUGGGUAUAUAACUCCACUAGUAUAUACCAAGCGGAAGUACAGGUACAUAGAAGUCUGUGAAGUUCUGUUGUACAACCUCGAGAGGAUACAAAAUACAACGAUUUAUACAGACAGCCAGGCGGCACUACCAGCCUUGUCGUCGCCAAAGAUUUACUUGAACAUGAGUAUACAAAAUAUAAUUUUCCAGCAACCCAUAUUUGGAAUGUAGAUGAGACGGGGCAGUCAGUGGUACAAUCUCGACAGCCUGAAAUAAUUGCACAAAAAGGAAAGCGACAAAUAGGCGCCAUGACUUCCGCAGAACGUGGAUCCCUUAUAACUGUUAUAACGUGCAUGAGUGCUGGCGGGUCUUUCGUGCCUCCAUAUUUUAUAUUUCUUAGAAAGAAUAAUAACCCACUCUUUAUGAAGGAUGCUCCACCUGGAGCUAAAUCUUCGUGCCAUCUAUCUGGAUGGGUACAAAUACCCAUUUUCACAAAUUGGUUCAGGCAUUUUUGGAGGAAAUUUUAUUCCAUAUAAUAUUAUGCAUUUUAAGUCAAGGGCUAUAUUUGCGAAUAUUAAAAUACUAGAAACAAUUCAGUUUUGAAGUUUUCUGACGAAUCUUUUCAUAGUUAUAGCCAAAAUAAAAAUGGGUAUACCAUAUUACCCACACUUACUCUAAACAAAGCAAGGACGGAUUUAAGGUCACUCAGGUCAACUCGACUUAUCCAUAAUUUGGGUUCCCGGUCAUAGGAACAUUUUCGUCAACGAUAAAGCAGACGAGUUCGCUAAAUCAGGAGCAUCUCUAGACGAAUCUGAGGCAGAAACAAUACCGCGUCUGCUAGGAGCGAUCAAGAGGGAGCUCAAUACGCGAAAGAUCUACAACUAAAUGCAGGAUAACGAAACAGAUAUGGCUAAACUAUGACAAAACAACAUAUUACAUAGGUUCAGGGAAAGUAAAUACAGGCAUACAUCUACCAUAUCAUGCGUUAAAAAAUCUAAUUUUUGCAUGAGAAAAGAAAAUUCUCCACUUGCUCUUACACAUACAUAGUUAAACGCUAUUUAAAAGUUUACUAUUGUCGUUAUAGUCUGUAGCCAUUGAAUUGCAAGUGAAACAUGAUCUCUUCAAUCGUCUUCUGUGAAGAAGUAUUAAAAAUUUAAAGAGUGGAAUAUAAUUGUUUAUAUUGAAUAAAAAUAUAAAUUGUAACUCAA
Long non-coding RNA from Bactrocera neohumeralis, 1835 nucleotides. RefSeq lists it as uncharacterized. The transcript is spliced from 2 exons. The record is from RefSeq and is a predicted model, not a curated record. NCBI's taxonomy places the organism in Eukaryota, Metazoa, Arthropoda, Insecta, Diptera, Tephritidae.